This 253-nucleotide ribosomal RNA is filed under the name uncultured bacterium. RNAcentral describes it as "partial 16S ribosomal RNA". It matches the Rfam family "Bacterial small subunit ribosomal RNA", at positions 524 to 776 of the family's 1533-position model. The record is from RNAcentral.
UACGUAGGGUGCGAGCGUUAAUCGGAAUUACUGGGCGUAAAGCGCGCGCAGGCGGUCUGUUAAGUCAGAUGUGAAAUCCCCGGGCUUAACCUGGGAACUGCAUUUGUGACUGGCAGGCUAGAGUAUGGCAGAGGGGGGUAGAAUUCCACGUGUAGCAGUGAAAUGCGUAGAGAUGUGGAGGAAUACCAAUGGCGAAGGCAGCCCCCUGGGCCAAUACUGACGCUCAUGCACGAAAGCGUGGGGAGCAAACAGG